CAGCAGCCACGGUAAAACGUAGGUGGCAAGCGUUGUCCGGAAUUAUUGGGCGUAAAGGGCUCGCAGGCGGUCUCUUAAGUCUGAUGUGAAAGCCCCCGGCUCAACCGGGGAGGGUCAUUGGAAACUGGGAAACUUGGGUGCAGAAGGGGAGAGUGGAAUUCCACGUGUAGCGGUGAAAUGCGUAGAGAUGCGGAGGAACACCAGUGGCGAAGGCGACUCUCUGGUCUGUAACUGACGCUGAGGAGCGAAAGCGUGGGGAGCGAACAGGAUUAGAUACCCCAGUAGUCCCUGUCUCUUAUAC
Molecule: ribosomal RNA, 301 nt
Filed under: uncultured bacterium
Lineage: Bacteria
Description: partial 16S ribosomal RNA
Rfam family: Bacterial small subunit ribosomal RNA
Source: RNAcentral